UACGGAAGGUCCGGGCGUUAUCCGGACUUAUUGGGUUUAAAGGGAGCGCAGGCGGACUGUCAAGCGUGCCGUGAAAGCGCGGGGCUCAACCCCGUACAGCGGCGCGAACUGGCGGUCUUGGUUGCGGGAAGGGAAGGCGGAACUCGUGGUGUAGCGGUGAAAUGCAUAGAUAUCACGAAGAACUCCGAUCGCGAAGGCAGCCUUCCGGCCCGUUAACGACGCUCAUGCCCUAAGGCGCAGGUAUCAAACA
RNAcentral lists this ribosomal RNA (250 nucleotides) under uncultured prokaryote. RNAcentral's name for it is "partial 16S ribosomal RNA". It matches the Rfam family "Bacterial small subunit ribosomal RNA", at positions 524 to 774 of the family's 1533-position model. The record is from RNAcentral.